RNAcentral lists this ribosomal RNA (1147 nucleotides) under marine metagenome. Its description in RNAcentral is "bacterial SSU rRNA". It matches the Rfam family "Eukaryotic small subunit ribosomal RNA", at positions 216 to 1327 of the family's 1831-position model. The record is from RNAcentral.
UUAAGGUGGAGUCAUAGCAACAUCUCAAUCGCAAUACCGAAUUGUGUCUCACGACGUGAUUUGGCUCCAUUGGAGUGCGAGAGUUCAUUCAAGUAUCUUCCCUAUCAGCUUGACGGUAGUGUAUCGCACUAUCGUGGCUUUAACGGGUAACGGGGAAUUAGGGUUCGAUUCCGGAGAGGCAGCCUGAGAGACGGCUACCACAUCCAAGGAAGGCAGCAGGCACGUAAAUUAUCCAAUCCUGACACGAGGAGAUAGUGACAAGUGGUAACGAUACCGAGACUUUUUAGUUUUGGUAAUCGGAAUGAGGAAAGUGUAAAAAUCUUAGCGAGGAUCCAAUGGAGGGCAAGUCUGGUGCCAGCAGCCGCGGUAAUUCCAGCUCCAUUAGUGUAUAUUAAAGUUGUUGCGGUUAAAAAGCUCGUAGUUGGAUAUCUGAAUUAGUUAGCCUGACCCAUGUUAAGUCUUUGAUUUAGCUUGUGUUUGUCGGAGCUGACUCGUUCAUCUAUUUCAAGUAUACAUCAUGUUUUGGCUUUAUUGCUAGAAUGUGAUGGAACACUUGAAUCGUUUACUUUGAAUAAAGGAGUAUGUUUAAAGUAGGCUAUACACGUCAUUGUAUUUUUUAGCAUGGAAUAAUAAAUUAGGGCUUUGUGUUUCUUUUUUAUUGGUUACGAAUCUACAUGAGCAAUGAUUAAUUGGGCAGGUUGGGAGUGCUAAUAUUGAUUGGGAAGGAGUGAAACCCUAUGAUCCUUUCAAGAUUUCCAAAAGCGUAAGCAUUCACUAAGGCCUGUUUCUUUAAUCAAGAACGAAAGUUGGGGGAGCGAAGACGAUUAGAUACCGUCGUAGUCCCAACUGUAAACAAUAUCACCUCGGGAUAUGUCCCGUUGACCUUUUCUCUUGCGUUGCCAUGCACCGUUCGAGAAAUCAAAGGGUUCAGAUUCCGGGGGGAGUACAGUCGCAAGUCUGAAACUUAAAGGAAUUGACGGAAGGGCACCACCAGGUGUGGAGCCUGCGGCUUAAUUUGACUCAACACGGGACAACUUACCAGGACAGGACAUAGUAAGGAUUGAUAGGUUAGCGAUCUUUCUUGAUUCUAUAGGUGGUGGUGCAAGGCCGUUCUUAGUUCGUGGAGUGAUUUGUCUGGUUAAUUCCG